Non-coding RNA from Pelobates cultripes (western spadefoot toad), 202 nucleotides. The record is from the annotation of a GenBank genome assembly. NCBI's taxonomy places the organism in Eukaryota, Metazoa, Chordata, Amphibia, Anura, Pelobatidae.
UGCAUUGCUCCUCUGUCAUCAUUGCUGUGGAUCUUGCUUGCCAAUACAAGCUGUGUUCUACCUGAAACAAACUGGCACAAAUAAAAUACUGGAGAUCAAGGGGAUUUAAACACUCACUUGCAUCAACAUCUUUAGACCAGAAACCAAUUCUUUAUAACAACAAAUUUCCAAUUGUCAGGCAGGAUGAUGAUUUAUAAUGUAG